AUGCAAGCUUCAUCGUGUCCUUUCCCCCGCAUGAUGCGGGCGCUGGCGCUACAAUGCCUCUCGGUGUGGCUCUGCUCGUGUGCGACGGCCGCGUGGCUGGCCGUGCAUGGCAGCAACGGCACGGCCGACGAGCUCAACCUCCUCUUGUUCAAGUCGGAGCUUUCGGAUCCGGCAGGUGCUCUGUCUUCAUGGAACACGUCCAAUCCCAUGUGCAAGUGGCGAGGAGUCACUUGCGGCCGUCGACACCCCGAGAGGGUCGUCGCGCUGAACCUCAACUCAUCCCACCUGGCAGGGGGGUGUAUCCCGCCGUUCUUGGGCAACCUUACCUUCCUCAGGACACUCAACCUUGGCGAGAACAGCUUUGGCGGGCAGGUGCCGCCGGAGCUUGGUCGGCUGAGCAGGCUGCAGGUGCUGAACCUCAGCCUGAAUGCCCUCCAAGGAAGCAUCCCGGCAGCUUUGGGAAGAUGCACUAAGCUGCGGAUCCUCAAUCUCAGGAAUAACCUCCUUCAAGGUGAGAUCCCUGCUCAGAUAGGCUCCUUGGAAAAUCUAGAGAUCCUCAACCUUUUCGCCAACGACUUGUCCGGGCAUAUUCCGCCGUCGAUAGCCAACUUGUCUUCGCUCCAAACACUCAACCUUGGGAACAACACUCUGUCAGGGGCCAUUCCUUCAUCUCUUGGUCGCAUGCCCCGCCUCUCUUUGCUUUCGGUCCAGUUUAACAAUCUUUCGGGACUCAUCCCUCCUCCAGUAUGGAACAUUUCUUCCUUGAAAGGCUUAUCAGUCGUGGGGAACGCGCUUCGUGGCACGAUACCUGCAGGCGCAUUCGCUAACCUCCCUCUUCUCCAGUUGUUCUACAUGAGCUACAACCAGUUUCAUGGCCAUGUCCCUGCCAUAUUGGCAAAUUCUUCCAAGCUGCAGAGAAUUGAGCUCGGGUACAAUUUCUUUAGUGGCACGGUUCCUCCAGAGGUUGGAGGCCUGCAGAAUCUUGAAUCGCUGGUUCUCUCAAACAAUCUGCUACAAGCUACGACUCCAAGUGGCUGGAACUUCAUGUCCACCUUAUCCAAUUGCUCCCAGUUACAAUAUCUGGACUUGGCCUCAAACGAAUUAGGAGGGACGCUUCCUUCGUCGAUCUCUAACCUGUCAACAUCGCUCGUAUAUCUGUCCCUCUCCCAUAACCGGAUACUAGGGAACAUACCUGAAAGAAUUGGAAAUCUUUUCCAGUUGCAGGUCCUAUCCCUUGAGAAUAAUCUUCUCACGGGAACUCUUCCAUCUUCUUUGAGCAUCCUUACCAACUUGGGAGAUCUGUCCCUGGGAAAGAACAACUUGAGUAGGAGCGUCCCAUUGACCAUCGGAAAUCUUACUCAGUUAAGCAACUUGUAUCUCGGGCACAAUACUUUCAGCGGUAGCAUACCAAGCACUGUGGGGAACUUGGCAUCCUUACUGAAUAUUGAUUUCUCAUCCAACAACUUGACAGGGAUAAUCCCCACUAGUUUAUUCAACAUCAGCACACUCUCUCUAGGUUUGGAUCUCUCCUAUAAUUGUUUGGAGGGGUCGAUACCGUCUGAAAUUGGAAAUCUAAAAAACCUUGUAGAAUUCCGAGCGGCGUCAAAUAGAUUAUCACAUGAAAUCCCUCCAACCCUUGGUGACUGCGAGAUUCUCCAAAACAUAUAUCUACAAAACAAUUUCCUGGAAGGUAGUAUUCCGCCACUCUUGAGCAGACUGAAGGGUUUAGAAAUCCUAGACCUCUCAAGCAACAAAUUAUCAGGCCAAAUACCAAAGUUUUUGGAAGACCUCAACACACUUCACUAUCUAAACGUCUCCUUCAAUAACUUCGUUGGUGAGGUGCCGUUUACCGGUAUCUUCACGAAUGCUACUACAGUUUCAGUGCAAGGUAAUGAUAAACUUUGUGGUGGAAUCCAGGAUCUUCACCUGCCCCCAUGUUCUUUCGAAUCGUCAAAGAAGAACAAACUUCCAUUGAAAACAAUCAUUAUUCCCCUAGUUGCGGUGUUGGGUGUCAUUUUCUUGGUCUUUUUCCUGCUUGCUUGGAACAAGCAAAGAUCAAAUGGUAACCCUUCGACUGCAACUAUCCAAGGGUACCCUUUGGUUUCUUACCUUACAUUGGUAAAAGCAACAAAUGGUUUCUCCACAGCAAACUUGUUGGGUAGUGGCACUUUUGGCUCUGUAUAUAAAGGAAACUUAGGCGGAGAUAGGGAUGACAGUGCCAAUAUUGUUGCUAUCAAAGUACUUAAACUCCAAACACCGGGUGCACUCAAAAGUUUCACAGUGGAAUGCGAAGCAAUCAGAAACACUCGACAUCGAAAUCUUGUCAAGAUAAUGACAUUGUGUUCAAGCAUUGAUUCCAAAGGGGACGACUUCAAAGCAAUUGUCUUUGAGUUCAUGCCUAAUGGAAGUUUAGAAGAUUGGUUGCAUCCAGACCAACAUGAGGAGAAGCAUUUGGAUCUCCUUAAAAGAGUAAGCAUACUACUGGAUGUGGGAUAUGCACUGGAUUAUCUUCACUCCUACGGCGCUGCACCAAUUGCUCACUGUGAUCUUAAGCCAAGCAAUGUACUUUUGGAUGAUGAUUUGGUAGCCCAUGUUGGUGACUUUGGACUUGCUAGGAUUCUUACCGAGGGAAACUCUUUUCCCCAAAGCUCAACAAGCUCAAUGGGAUUUAGAGGGACAAUUGGGUAUGCUGCUCCAGAAUAUGGUGCUGGAAAUGUGAUCUCUAUACAAGGAGAUGUGUACAGCUAUGGAAUUCUCAUCUUAGAAAUAGUAACUGGGAAGAGGCCCACCAACAGCAUGUUCAUACAAGGAUUAAAUCUCCACAAGUAUGCUGAAAUGGCCAUACAUAGUGGAGUAAUGGACGUUGUUGACAUGCGGCUUUUUUCCCACAUCGAGAAGGGGUCGCCGACCACAGAUGACUCUUCUACUUUUUCAAGAACGUAUGAUCCUUCUGAUGAGAGAAGGAUUGACUGCCUGACCUCACUUCUUAGAAUCGGAGUAUCUUGCUCCCAGGAAAUGCCCGUGAGUAGAAUGUUGAUCAAAGAUACUAUCAAAGAGUUGCAGGCUAUCAAAGAUUACCUCAUGUAG
RNAcentral lists this ribosomal RNA (3087 nucleotides) under Triticum aestivum (bread wheat). Its description in RNAcentral is "partial small subunit ribosomal RNA". The record is from RNAcentral. Lineage: Eukaryota; Viridiplantae; Streptophyta; Magnoliopsida; Poales; Poaceae.